AUUCAUCCAUGUGAAGCCCUUUCGACGAGUCGAGUUGUUUGGGAAUGCAGCUCUAAAUGGGUGGUAGACUUCAUCUAAAGCUAAAUAUCAGCCAGAGACCGAUAGCGCACAAGUAGAGUGAUCGAAAGAUGAAAAGCACUUUGAAAAGAGAGUCAAACAGCACGUGAAAUUGUUGAAAGGGAAGCGCUAGCAACCAGACUUGCUCUGUAUUGUUCAGCUCUCCGAAAGGAUGGUGUAUUCUUUACUUGCAGGCCAGCAUCGGUUUCGACAGUUGGAUAAAAACUCAAGGAAAGUAGCUUCGCUUCGGGGAAGUGUUAUAGCCUAAGUACAAUGCAACUAGUCGGGACCGAGGAACGCGCUUUUAGCGAGGAUGUUGGCAUAAUGGUUGUUAGCGACCCGUCUUGAAACACGGACCAAGGAGUCGACCAAUUAAGCGAGCGUUUGGGUGUAAAACCCUCGACGCGUAAUGAAAGUAAACGUAGGUGGGAAGCUUUACAGCAGCACCAUCGACCGAUCUAAGUUCGCGAGGAUUUGAGUAUGAGUUUCAUUGGUCGGACCCGAAAGAAGGUGAACUAUUCGCGGAUAAGUUGAAGUCAGGUGAAAACCUGAUGGAGGACUGCAGCGGUUCUGACGUGCAAAUCGAUCGUCAAAUCUACGAAUAGGG
This 664-nucleotide ribosomal RNA is filed under the name Thelotrema subtile. RNAcentral describes it as "eukaryotic LSU rRNA". It matches the Rfam family "Eukaryotic large subunit ribosomal RNA", at positions 236 to 922 of the family's 3401-position model. The record is from RNAcentral. Lineage: Eukaryota; Fungi; Ascomycota; Lecanoromycetes; Ostropales; Graphidaceae.